CUAAGAAUCCUCGAUCCUUGAUCCUCUAGUUGUUCUAAGUCAAUGCUGAAGGUAUCGAAACACCUUCCUCGAUUACAUUUUCUCAUCAACGAAUUUUCAGUCCCCCGCUGUUUCUUCCCCAACAGUGUCCACUUGUUUUUGCGUUUUGCUAACUUGUUCAAUUAUAUUCUGAUGUUAUCAGGACUGGUGACUGCAUUCCUCUUCAUCCAUCUUUGCACAAAAGUCAGUGAAGCCAUUCCUGGUACGUGUGUUACUUUUUGUGUGCUAUCAACGCUUCUUUAUCUUUCACCCUUUGUUUUGUAAUCUGGUUCUAUUGACUGAACCCUAAAAAACAUAAAAGCAAAACAGAAGAAAAAGGAAGAAAAGAAAAAAAAUGGGUAAGAUAAUUGCGACAUAAACUCAUUGCAGAGGCACCAAUAUUUGUCUCUCUUAGCUUAAUAUGACCGUAAAAUGGUAGUUGUGUGUAUAACCAUCUUCUUGUUGCUAGGGUAAUUUGUGACUUGCAGACGAUAGGGUGAGCUUGGAAAAAUAGCAAGUCUCUGCUCACAGGCAUUUAGAUGAUCCAGCCUAUUACAAUUGAUAGGAAAAAAAAUUGAUAUUUAUUAAUUGCAGAACACCUAAGAUCCUUUAAAGCAUACAAUUAUUACAUGUGAGUUAAUACAUAACAUUUUCAGAAGGGGAAACGACACAAAUAGUCUAUAACCUUUGACCCAACAUGUAAUGUUAUCAUUGGAUUUUUAAUUCGUUCAAUGCGAUCCUUGAAUAUUUCCUAAAUAUUCAAUAUAAUCCUCAAUUUUUUAGUUUUUUCAAUCUAAUCUCUCAACUUUCCAACAAAAUCAAAUCAGUCUUUUAGUACUAAUUAUAAGUUUUCAUUAUUACACUAUUCUCCCGUUUUUAAAAUAUUUCUUCUUUUCAAUCCUUCUCCUAAAUGAACAAAAAAUAUAUAUAAUAUUUUUAGUACUUUUUUGUACCCUUUUAGUCUUUAUAGAUAUUAUGAUAAUUUCAUUUAAGUAAAAUUUUAGCUUAUGAUCUUUAUAAUAGUAAAGGGAAACAUUACCAAUAACGAGAUGCCAGAACGAUUGACUAAAAAUGAUGUGUUUUUUCCUUGAAAGGUGGCUAAUAAUAUUUGAUCAUGGGCCUUCACCUUUGGUCCAAAUGUCUAUUACAUAAAAUUUCUUUAAUCGUCCUUUUACUAAGCAAAAGGUUUUACAAGAAAUAGACGAUAGAGAGAGAGAGAGAUGCUAACCAGACUUCCUCAAUGAACAAAUCAAGUGUAUCAUCUUUUAUGUUAUCCUGACUUGAUUGUAUUUUAUUAUGUCACGCGAAUUUGCACAUGACUCAUAGUCGAACUAAAUAGAGCUUAACUUGUUGCGGCUUUAUCUACCUUCUCGGAAUGAGUGAUGAUAAAAACAAAAUGUUAAAAAUUAUGAUAAAUGUAACUUUUAGACAGUCUAUGCUAUCCAUGAAUAGGGCCAAACAGAAUCUAGUAUGCUAAAACAAGACAUCAGGAAACGAUCGAGGGUUUUGUGGUGGCUUGUGCGAGCUUCAUCUUCACUGAUGAGUAAUGAUGCUUGAAAAAAUAAAAUGAAGAAGACCGAGGAUAUGACCCAUUCUACAAAAUUCUGUUGAUAAAAUCAGGUUUUUAGAACCUUUAGCUUUCAUUAAGUUUUAUGAAUGCAAAAGGCGCAUAUCCAUUUAUCUUAAGAUGACCAAUAGAAAGAUCUUAAAUUAGACAUUAAUAUGCUACAUUUAUUGAAAUACAGAACUUAAUAAUGAGGAGUUCGAGAUUGAUAACCCCCAAUCAUUAAUGGUGUGUAUGAUAAAAUUUCUAUUUACCUAUUUUUUUUGUUUCUCUGUCCCGGAAUAGGUUUGGAACAUAAAUCUGUUUGAGAACGCAAUUUAAUUUUUCUAUUUCUGGAAUAGAAAUCUAUUCCAGAAAUAGAUUUGAAGAAGAAAUCAGAAGAUAAAACUUUUAACUUUUCAAUUUCUGAAAUAAAAAUUGAGAAAUCAAUUUCUAGGCAAAAAUCAAUUUCUGUUCCAGAAAUUUUGUUAUGCGCACCCUAAAGAUGUCAUCAUGCUAUUUAAUUUUAGCUAGCGCACAUAAUCCGCUCUUUAGCUUGACUCUAUUUUCUCCUAAUAAACACAUACCUCUUUUUGAAAAUUUAUUGGUUAAUAACAUAUUUUUGAUUACCCGACCUUUUUUACUUCACAUAUUUAGUGUGGGAUUUUUUUUUCCCUUGUCUCACAUGUAUACUAGAUAUUCUCGCUCUCAUGUAACCAUUGCCAAUUGAUGUACGACCUACUCUUUUGAAAAUCAUUGAAUACUUCUUUUAUUCUAAAUGUUUGACGUGACAUUUUCUUGCACUCCAUACGUGCACUUAAUAGAGGAACGCUUCAACAUGUAUUUACCAAUGCCAAACACAAAAAAUAAAGUCUUCAGUGGGCCAUAGAUUGUUUUGUAUUGCUGACUCUCGAGCAUUUUUUUUUUUUUUUUUGUUGGGGGAGAGUGGGGGGGGGGGAGAUUUGGGGAAGGCGACCACACCAAACUACGAGCCAUCACUAGAUAUUUUCAAACCUAGAGUAACUAAUUAAUGAAAUUACUUAAUUGUGGACACUGGGCCAACCCCCCAAGGUUUUACGUCUAAAUAGCGAUUUGCGACAAGGCAUGAUGGUACUAUCGAGCACCGGAGGAUUGUGUGAUUUCCGAAGAGUGAUCUCUGGCAGUUCAUCGGUCAUUAAAAAAAAAGUAUAUGGCAAUGAUGAUAUAAUUACUUGGGCCCUCACGCUUAUGUUUUCACUUGGUCAUGCCUCAUGACUCCUUUCUUGAUGAAAGUUGUUUCCAAUCCAACAAGGGCUGGUGCCGCAUAUAUUUUCGAAGUUUUUUGCAAAAUUAUGGUUUUUUCCACAUUUGAUCACAAAAGAUUUGUCCAACUUUUAGGAACCAUAUACGAAUUUUCCUAUUUCUCUUCCUACAAAAAUGCUGUCAAAAAGUAUUUGAUAAUUCUAGAUGUACAUCAAUUCGGUAAUUUACAUUCAUUCACAUUGAUUUGUCAACUUUAAAAGUAAGUUACUCCAUUUAUUUUCAAAUAAAAAAGGAAUAUUUCACAAGGAAAAAUCAAAGUUUUUAUUUUCGGUUUUUGGAACGAAAAAGGUUCCUUAGAUGAAAAUUCUGAAUCUGUAAAUUUUGUAUAACAUCAAAGGGGGGAAAAUGAUCCCAAUUUUGAAAAACCACUUCCUCUUAAGUAAGGGAUAGAGAUGGCCUACUGUUAUUUUUUCCAUCCAAGUGAACCUACGUGCCGACUGACAUGGCAAACGCCGCUUACAUGGAAGUUGACGUGGCAAUAUUCAUUAUUAUGUAAGUGAAUUGAAUAAUAUUAAUCUCAAAAUAGAAAGAAUUUUGUCAAAGAGAAAAGAAAAACCAGAAAGAAGAAGCAGGCAGGGGGGAAGGGCGUGUGUCCGAUUGUGGUGGCCAUGCACGCCACCACGUUGCUCUCGGUGCUCUUUUCGACUUUGGUGGCCGGCGUCAUGAUCAGUUUCUCCAUAGAACAUAGUUCGUAAUAGGGGUUGAGAGAAGGAAAAUGACCCAACAGACUAUAAGAGUUUCACAAGAUGCAGAGGAGUUCGCUUUUAAUAUAACGUCGAUUCAUAAUCCUUUUUUUCCUUCAAUCCUCCCUCUUUUUCACUGUAUUUUGUUUUUGUAUCUGUAUUUCUUUGCGAAUUGAAAGGAAGAAAGAGAAGGAAAAUGUGACAUUUGCUUUUGCUUCUAUACUUCUUUUUCUUCUCUCUUUGAUAAAAAUCAUGUUACUUUAAGUUUAAAAUCAUCGAUUUAAUAUUUCUAUUUUUUUAACGUCACAUCAGCUGAUCAUGUAAAUUUAAAUUCAUCAAUUUGAUAAUGGCCAUGUUUGUUUGUCAAGAAAGACUACAUACUAUUUUUAGAUAUUUAGGAAGUGAAAUAAUUUUUUUCUUCUGAUGUAAAUACAAGAUUUAUUUGCUAGAUUUGGCCCGUCAAUUAUGUCAAAACUUCAAAUGACACUCCAACCCCACUGUGGCCAUUGGACCCCAACUCCCUUUGUAACAACGUGCUAUGGCCCUGUUUGGUUCUGCAUUCCCAAGGGGCUUUCAGCCCCGAAAGCCCAUUGGGAAAAAAUUUAGGUGUUUGGUUCAGCAUUUGGAGGUGUCCUUGACCAAAUGCUGGCCUUUGAAAUGUAAGUCCACAUCUACUAUUCAUCCGUUGAUUUUUUUUUUUUAAACCGAUCAUCUUCCCCACACCCUCAACCGCCGUUAAUCGGCGAUGGAGUUUCAUAAGAUUUUAUUUUUAUAUUUUAAAAAAAUAAUAAAAACUCUUUGCAAAUGUUGGGUUCGUCUUUUUUUUGUUGUCAUUUUUAUCUUUUGACAAUCAAUAGCCCAACUUUUUAUCAAUACACUAGAAUGAUCAUUAAUUAAUGAAGAUGAUUAAUACUACAAUAAUUAAAAAAAUUAUUCAAAGUUGAAAACAAACCUAAAAGAACCCUAGGCCAAAAGUUGAGCUUUGCAUUUAAUCUAUAAUCAAAAUCUUUUAAUAUAAUUUUUAAAUAAAUUUACUAAUAUAUAUCUUUUACAUUACUCUCAACAUGAAAAUGUAAAAGGUUAUAUAGUCAUUGUUUCUUUUUUGCAAUUUUAAAAAUACUAAAACUAAAAAACUUAAUUUGGUUACACUAAAGGGCUUUUUAAAUAUAUGUCCAAGUCCCGCAUAGCAUGGUCAAUUAAAAAAGAAUUGUCAUCUCUUUCAACCCAUUGAGAACGAAGAAAAAAAGAAAGAAAGAAGUUAAAGCCGUCACCGUUUGAGGUAUUGACUAGUUAAAAACAACUAGAUGUGGCGAAAUGGGUCUUAGACCCAUAUAUGGCCCAUUUAAACCAUAAAUGGGUCAUGUAUGGUUCACUUGUUUUUAAAGAAACUAGUUAAAUGGGCUUAAAAAUUGAAGGUUUAAAUAAAUGGGUCUUAAACGGGUUUGACUUAGAGCCCAUUCUCAACCAAAGCCUCACAAUCUCUCUCUUCCCUCUUUAACUUUAUAAAAGUAUAUUUUAUAAAAAUCGAAAUUAUAUAUAUUUUUUAUAUUUCUUUUCUUUUCUUUUUGUUUUCUUUUUUUCUUUCUUUCUUUUUCCUCCUUCCUUAGCCAGUGGCCGACACGGCGAUGACCGGCGAGCUUGAGCUUUGCGAAUUAGGUGAGACUCGAGCUCCCUAGCAUCGGACGAGCUCGAGCUAACCGAAUCCGGCGAGGCGAAGGCCUCACUAGAUGUCGGCAACACUUGAGCCUCGCCAGAUCUGGCAAGCCUUAAUCGUCGGUGUCGGGUGAGGCUUAAGCCUCACCGAUCUGGCAAGCCUUGAGCUUGCCGGUGUUGGGUGAGCCCAGCGAGCAUCCAGCUCGCCUGUGGCUGGUCACCAAUCGUCGUCAUGGCUGGCGACUGGCUAAAGAAAAAGAAAAAAGAAAGAAAAAGGAAAAAUUAUAUUCUUUAAAAAUAAAAAUAAUUAAAAAUUCGAUUUUUAAAAAAUAUAUAAAAAUUAUCCAUUAAAUUGAUAUUGCAUAAAAAUAUUUUAGCAAUAAUUUUUUUUUAAAAUCAUAAAAAAAAAGCUUUCUUAGGUUUAGUUAAAUGGGUCGAGUCAAGUAUAGAUAAAAAAAUUUGCACUUCGAUAAAUUGAUCGUAAAUAGGUUAAAUUGUUUGAUUUGGGUCGAACCAUUUAUGACCCGAUCCAAACUUGACUGGAUCCACCCAUUUAACAGGUCUAGAAACAACCAACUCCAUUUGAGCUGGGGUUGGAGCAUGUCUUUAGGGAGAAAAAGAUACUUGGUGAAAUCUGUUCGUCUUUGUCAUUUCCCUCUAAUGUCACACACUAUUUCUCAACUACUCUAUUUCUUAAUUGCAAGUUGUGUAUUUUUGGUUGCCUCGUUUGGUUUGUCUUUGUUCGAUGGCCAUUUGCAAAUAUUUAUCUGGGCAAGUUGGAUAGAACCACGUGAUGAUUUUUGUCCUCAUCACUUCCCCCCGACUAUUUAUACGUAUCUCAAUUAUAAUUUUCUUAAUUGCAAUUUUUUUGUUGAUGAAUGCUGAACAUGAGUAUCUGUGAUGCAUGUGUGAGAGAGAGAGAGAACAUUGUAAAGAGGGCCUCGCGUUGUCCUAUUACUAUUAAGAUGAAUGGAAUAGUUAAACUAAAAAAUGAACAAUCUAGGAAAAGUACUUUUUAUGGACCAAACUUACAAACUUUAAAGUAUUACAGACUUUAAUUCAUCAUAAUUUAAAAAGAUAAUGGGAGAAGCCUGAUAGUGAAAACCAAAAGGUAUGAUUAGCUAACUACUAAUUGAUUUUCACACAUUGAAGGAUAUUUUGGUCAAUUAAUAAUAAACAUAAAAUGUGAAGAGAUAAGAUGAGAGAGAAAAAAGUAGGAUGAACUGUGAUGGACCUCAUUUUUUUUUUAUCAUAAAUUAAUAUUUCGGUCAAUUGAUAAUAAAAAAAUGUGUAUCAAAUUAAAGAGAAUGCGUCCGAAAUACCGCCGCAUUAUUUAUUUGUUUUGUUUAGUACAAAGUAAUAAUAUCUAAACUUUUAUUCGAUACAAUUUUGUCUAUAAUUUAGAAUGUCCCGCAUUAAGAGGUAGCCAAUUUUAAAAAAUUCUCUUUUAAUUAAUGGGGGACAUGCCAUUUGCGGUGCGCUAAUUUUUUUUUGUAAUCCCUCAUAUAGAAAAUACUAAAUGGUCCUGAACAUCCACGUCAGCCACGUUUCAUCUCUUUGAAACGCUCACCAAAACCAAGCUCAUCGUCUUCAUUAAACAUCAACCAAGGGGGAAGAGAAGAGACAAAACCCUGAAUCACCCACUCCCAAACCCUCCCUUCGUCGCCUUCCCACUCCUUCUCGUCCUCCUCCUCCUUCGACUUCGAGUCCACCAUCUCUCUCUCCCCCCGCUCCUCCUCCACCCUCUGCAUCGCCGACGAGCUCUUCUACAAGGGCCAGCGCCUACCCCUCCAGCUCUCCCCCCGCCUCUUCAUGGUCUGUCUCUUCCUCGCCUCCUCUUCCACCUCCAACUCCGCCACCACCUCCUCCCGAGACUCCUCCGGCAGCUCCACCGCCUUCUCCGAUCAGACCUGGCUGAAGGACGCCGACAAUCCAGAUCUGGAUCUGGAGAACUCCAGAUACGGAGAGCAGCCAAUCGCCGGGCUCGGCUGCCGGUUGUUGGGGCUGGGACAGGUGGCGAAGGUCCCCAAUUUCUUGUUCGCCAUUAAUGGAGUUUCGAUAUUGGACGAUAGAAUAGAUGGGACAGAAAUAUGAAACGUGGGCCUACUCGGUCACGGGAUGAGGUCCAGGAGCACCCAAUAUUUUCUAUUCAAAUCCUGAUAGUGGCUGUUACAAACAUACAAACACGUCCCAGCCGUCAAAUGUUAUUUGUUCACUAUUUUUAAAAAAAUAACAAAUUGCUUUCCUGAAAAAUCGUUAAAAAGAAAAAAAAAACGUUUUAAGCUUUAAAUUAUUGAGAGAUGGUUCUAAACAAUUCUAACCAUCAAUACUUAAAAGAAUCGACAAUAUGCAUGUUGUAUUGUUUCUCCUCAUGCUUUGGAUUCAAAACGGAACACGGUUUAGCUUUCUCUCAGAAACACUCAGAGAGCGUGAAAUUGUGAUGAUGACUGCAAAAUUUGUUGGAGCCCUCGAAGAGUCAUCCCCAUUUUCAAGAAACAUAAGACAAAGAAAACACGGACAACAGAAAAUAAUAAAUGAAAGAAAUUUAGGACACUACUGCACGCGGUUGAUCAGGAACGUGUUGUUCGUUUCUCCUCGUAAGAAUAUCUGCAAAUCGUCCACGUAGACCAGUAACGUGUUAUUUGGGUGCACCGAGUGCAAUAAUUGUACGUUUUUUUUUUUUUUUGCAUGCACUGUGCUGCUUCUCUCUCUCUCUCUCUCUCUCUCUCUCGACGUUGGUUUUGUUUCGUUGUUCACAUUGUUUUAUCACUAUGCUCUUCCUUUCUUUUUAUACAUCGCGAGUGAUUACUUCUGUUCUCUGUCCCGUUUCCUUGGCACAG
Molecule: long non-coding RNA, 8039 nt
Filed under: Eucalyptus grandis
Lineage: Eukaryota; Viridiplantae; Streptophyta; Magnoliopsida; Myrtales; Myrtaceae
Description: long non-coding RNA (EGRA_LNC006661)
Source: RNAcentral